UUCCUUUAUAUUUUCUUUUUGAAUAUUAUGAAAAUAAUAGGGGGUAAGUAGUGUAUAGGGUGCUCCUAGAGCAAUGGUCCCUAUCUAUUCAUUUACUACUAUGUGUAUUCUUUAACUAAUCAUUUUAAUAUGAAAAUACAUGUCGUAAGUAUUGAAUGGAUAAUUUAAAAGCGCGAAGGACAUUCUUGAUUGAGGGAUGUUGAUUGAGGAUUUUUAAGUUUAAAACAUUUAAUCUCAAAUUUACGUUAAGACUUGAAAUCUUUCAUUGAUUAUAUCUAUCUAUGUAAAACUUUUUAAGUUGUUCCUCGAUACAUAUCAAUAAUAUCCUUCAUAUAAUGGUGAAGGCACUUGAAACAUAAAUAAUUUAUUUUGCAUUUAACAGUCGCAAUUCAAUGUUAAUGUAAAGUUUAAAUCUUGAGUUGAAAUAAGAGGUUGAUGAUUUAAACUUUGUUCCUAUGGAUUAAGAUGGGAUUUAAUUACCAAUAUGCCUAAAAAACAAUCUUAAUUAAUUAAUCUGGUUGUGAAUGGAAGAAAAAAAAGGAGAAAAAAAAGGCAAUAGGUGCAGUUCUAUUGUCUCACACGACAAUUAUUUAAUGUCUUUUGGGUGCGUUUGAGAGCUUGCAUUACACUGCAUUUGCAUUGCAUUAAAACACUAUACUUAUGCUAACUCAUGUUUAGCUACAAUUUCUUGUUGCAUUGCGCUGCAUUAUAAAGAUGAAUAUUGCAAUGAAAGGUGUAUAAAAUAAACUUAAAGGGGGUAAGUUUUAGGCUGUAUUACAUUAAAAUAUUAUUUAUGUUUUAAAUAUAAUCAUUUAACUUUUAUUAUUCAAUCAAUUGUAACAAAUAUAAAUGUACUAACAUUGAUUUAUAUUU
RNAcentral lists this long non-coding RNA (873 nucleotides) under Citrus x clementina. Its description in RNAcentral is "Citrus clementina (C. clementina) long non-coding RNA (CCLE_LNC005262)". Lineage: Eukaryota; Viridiplantae; Streptophyta; Magnoliopsida; Sapindales; Rutaceae. The record is from RNAcentral.